RNAcentral lists this long non-coding RNA (2149 nucleotides) under Neogale vison (American mink). Its description in RNAcentral is "Neovison vison (American mink) lncRNA (ENSNVIG00000001083.1)". Lineage: Eukaryota; Metazoa; Chordata; Mammalia; Carnivora; Mustelidae. The record is from RNAcentral.
UCCAGUGCUGGCUCCUCUCCUCUACCCCCACCUCCCAACUCACACAAUCUCUCCUCUCCCAGUGCCCCCUCCUACCACUCUGGCCUUCAAAGCACUUGAUGUCAGGGACCCUGAACCCCUCUCCUAAGAGGAGAGGGCCUGAUCAAGGCACUUCCUCUGCCCACUCGGGGCCCCCCUUUGAUUUUUACCAGUAACGGCCAUGCCUCUACCCACCUUAGUUAGAGCUAUUGCCAAAAAACAUCCUUCAGCCUCUUCCUGUCCUUUAGACCUGAACACCUAAUAGGCUUUGGGAGGGGCUGGGGCUCUGAGCCAGAUUCCACACCUCACUUCCGGUCCUAGCCCUCAAGCCCUCCAGCUACUGGCCUACCUCUCCUUCAGUCCCAGAAGAUGCCACAUUGUCUCGCUGACCCAGGGAGCCCAGGACCAGCAGAGCAAAGUGGACAUGGACUUCAUCCUUGUCUUGGUAGAGCAAGGCAAGGCCCCCAAAAGGGUUGCCGAGGUCUCAUAUCACCCUGGGAUGAACAGAUCUCAUUCCUACAGAAAAAAAUACUUCCCACCACGGCUGACGGAGGUGGCUACCGCUCACCUUUGGGUUCCCGUGAGCAUACACCUGGCCAUGGUCUCAGAAGCCCCACUCCGGCCAGGAGGAUUUUCUGCACGCUCUCCUAGCAGUUCAGCUCAACUCGGCGGACACUGACGAAUGGCUGCCGGAGCCAGGUUCUGGGAAUUCGAGAAUUUGUGCACUUGAGGUGGGGGUAGGGGAGACCCAAGGGCACAGGAUAUUGGUAAGGGCCGUGAGAGAGACUGGAAGCAAGGCUACUUCAGGAUGGUAGUGCAGAUCAGGGAUAGGUGAUGUCUGGGAAAAGGGGGUGCUGAGAUGGGCUCGAGAGUCAGGAAGGAGGGCAGGGCAAAGCACUGGGGCUGAUGGCAGUGGCUGACACUGUCCCUUUAAGGCCCUCGCUGCAGGGUCUCCUAGGGCAGAGCAUUGAGUGGCGCUGCCUUGUGACCCAGGUGCCAGCACUUUGGACUACGAAUGAAACGGAAUGUUCAAAUCUAGUGUCCAAGGAGGCCUCCUUCCAGCUCUUGGUUCCCGCAGCUCCCAAGCCCUCAGAGUGGAGGUGGAGGGGCAGAGACAGAAGGACGUGUAAGAGGACGAUGGCCUGGUGAAUGUAGAGACUCGGACCUCCCCCAACCCGGUGUCUAAAUACACACCUGCCUGUUCAGUUUAGCUCCCUGGUGGCCUGGCAAGGGCAGACCCAGGACGCACGGUGCCUGGGCCAGCAGGAGCAAGCAGCAGAGAGGGAGGAAGAGUUCCAGGGAGUUGAGCAAAGCAAGGUCCCAAGGAGCCACCGCCUGUGAAAGGGUGGUUCCAUCAGAGGGUGGCUGAGGCCCUUCCAGGCUGUUUCCCUGCAGGGUUCUGGCUCACCGGGGACGGGCAGCACCCAGGGCCUUCGUCAGUCUGCCCGGUCCCCUUCCCGAGAUGGGACUUUGAAGACUUCUACAUUUGAAACCCUUCAAAUAUGCCCCAUUCAUAGGAGAGAAGCACAACCAUUCCCGCUCUGCAGUGAGUGGAGCAAGGGCUUGCCCCGGCCGACCCACCCCUCACCCCCUUCCAAGAGCUCUGGCGUAGUUCGCACCCCGUGAGGAAGCGAGGCUGGGCCCAGGAGCACUGCAGCUCCCUCCUCCGGGAGCCAACUUCUGGGACUUUGCAAGCUCCCUGUGCUGCCUGUGGAGGGGCCCCCUCGAGGUGCAGGCUGUCCUGUGAUAGUUGGUGGUGUGUAUUCUUGUGUGUUGGUUACACUUGUCUUGAAAUUUAGAAUCAUUUCUCACAGAACUGUCUGUCAGGAAGAGAAAAGGGGCUAACAGCCCAGUCUUAGGUUCUUGCCCUGUUAUACCAUUUUAAAAUCGACAUUUAAUUUUUCAAAUCACUGUUGGUGCCUAAUCACUUAAGUUAUUAAUUUAUUCUGUUUUCUCUUUUAAAAAUGUGUAACAUGUAUUUAUCCUGUGCGUAGGUCUGGGGUGGGGUGGGAAUGUGUUCUUGUGAGUCCUGGUUUUGCUGUGGUGACACACGGCACAGGCCUGGAGCUUGCAGGGCCCUUUUUACGUGGUGUUGGAGCAGGACAACAAUAAAGUCCAUUAGAAGCAACCA